This 324-nucleotide ribosomal RNA is filed under the name uncultured Allapsidae. RNAcentral describes it as "bacterial SSU rRNA". The stretch from base 51 to 324 matches the Rfam family "Eukaryotic small subunit ribosomal RNA", at positions 680 to 955 of the family's 1831-position model. Lineage: Eukaryota; Cercozoa; Glissomonadida; Viridiraptoridae. The record is from RNAcentral.
GAUUUCUGGUUAAGUAGCGCUAGCCCGCCCUUGCCAGGGGUGUGCGCUGGUAGUUGCUUGCCAUCUUUCUAGAGAGCCAGCGUCUGUCAUUCACUUGAUGGGCGUGACGCGAUCUAGAUCUUUUACUUUGAAAAAAUUAGAGUGUUUAAAGCAGGCUUACGCUAUGAAUACAUUAGCAUGGAAUAAUAAUAUAGGACUUUGGUUCUAUUUUGUUGGUUUCUAGGACUGAAGUAAUGAUUGAUAGGGAUAGUUGGGGGUGCUAGUAUUCAGUGGCCAGAGGUGAAAUUCUUGGAUUCACUGAAGACUAACUACUGCGAAAGCAUU